UACGUAGGGUCCAAGCGUUAUCCGGAAUCACUGGGCGUAAAGCGUGUGUAGGCGGGUGUUUAAGUGAAAUGCGAAAUCUUGUGGCUCAACCAUAUAGACUGUGUUUCAUACUGGAUACCUUGAGGAUGGCAGAGGCAGGUGGAAUUGAUAGUGUAGCAGUGAAAUGCGUAGAUAUUAUCAGGAACACCAAUGGCGAAGGCAGCUUGCUGGGCCAUAUCUGACGCUGAGACACGAAAGCGUGGGGAGCGAACAGG
Molecule: ribosomal RNA, 254 nt
Filed under: uncultured bacterium
Lineage: Bacteria
Description: partial 16S ribosomal RNA
Rfam family: Bacterial small subunit ribosomal RNA
Source: RNAcentral